UCACAUUGUCUCUCACAAAAUUGCCAAAACCUGCAGAAAGAUCCAGAAAUUUCCCUAUAACUCCAAAUCCAGUAAUGGGUAUGUGAAAGAUCCCAACUAUUAGAAAAUUCUAUGCUUAUAUUUAAUCCCAAAAGUUUUAGAGAGAGAAUGCUUAGAACAAAGUAAGUUUUCCGGCAAGGGUAGUGGUAGUGUGUCACAGUUUCACAGUCAGUGAGAGAGAAAG
This 223-nucleotide long non-coding RNA is filed under the name Panax ginseng (ginseng). RNAcentral's name for it is "long non-coding RNA (PGIN_LNC007256)". Lineage: Eukaryota; Viridiplantae; Streptophyta; Magnoliopsida; Apiales; Araliaceae. The record is from RNAcentral.